GUUUGAACUGAACAUAAUGAAAAUAGGAAUUCAUACAAGUGAAGCACUAUUAGCCUCUAUGGAGUACACUGCAUGUUGGGGAAAAAGACAAUUACUUACAAGGAGAUGUUAUGUAGAGCACUAGGCUGAUUAGAAAAGAGAUGGGACUCAUUGAUUUACCUAAACCUUUCACAUAAUUCACUUACAAUCCACCAGGAACAUUUUCAUUACCAUAAUCUAGAGUAUCUUGAACUUAAAUUUAACUUCCUUCAAAGAUGUCUAUUCUUUUCUAUGUGAUUUUAGCAGUUUUACCCUUCUGAAUUCAUCACACAACAAACUGAGUAAUCCAGUUCUACAAUGCAUAGUUGAACUAUUGUUACUAGACUUGAGAAGGAACAAUUUCACUGAGAGCCUUCCACCAUUAUGUUCUCUGAGUACUUCAUUCAUGACUAUUGUCUUGGAUGACAAUCAAUCGGAAGGAACUACCCUAUUUCAUUGCACAAUUUAAAGAUAUUUUUCAUGUUUGUGUCAUCUGGUAUCAUCAUUCUCCAGCUUUCAUAAACUUUUGAAAGCAGUAAGCAACUGAAGUUGUUAGGAGAAAGAUCAAAAAUCCGCAACAUGGGGAAGCAAAAGUAGUUUUGCUUUAGUCUGGGAACUUGUUCCACUUCAUAAGAAUCCGACUCUCCCAGAGACACCAGACAAGCUGGAAAUGUGUCAUUUAUAUUAUUAUUCCCCACAUCAAGGACUUCUCAACCAUACCAAUUGAACAAUGACAUAGGGUAGACCCUUUAAAUUGAUUACCAUUCAAGACAGUGGUCAUCAAUGAAGUGCUCUGAGAACAUAACGAUAGAAGACUACCACUGAAAUUGUUCUUUCUCAAGUUUAGAACCAAUAAUUCAGCCAUGAUGCCCAAGCAAUGUGGAGCCGACCCACUGAAGUUAUGUGAUAAAACCCAUAAGGCUAAAAGGUUGCUAAAGUAAAAAAUAUAGAAGACAGACAACCUUGCAGGAAGUUAAAAGUUACUUGUAAGAUCAAGAUUCUCUAGAUUACAGUGACAAAGUUGUUCUAGGUGAUUUGUAUGUGAAUUAUGUGAAAGGGUUAGGUGAACCAAUGAGUCAGCAUAUUUGUAUCAACUUAUUAUUCUAUAGAAAACCUCCUUGUAAGUUGUACAGAAGGAGAACAGAGAUCCCCUCAAGCUAUUGUUCACGAAUAAACAAGGUUCUCCCCAGUAAUGAACUUUCAGUUGAUGGGCUCACUUUAUAAUAGGGGUAUACAACUACAAGGAAUCUACUGACCUAAUAUGUUACAGAAGCACCUAAUUUCAUAUCACGGGGCUGCGCUUCAAGGAGCAGCUUCUUGCUCUCUGGAAUACUUCCAUGCAGCAUUCUCAAGUGUCACGAAGGGCCCGCACACGAUCUUGAAUCAGUUUCCUCUCCCAAUCUGCUACAUCCACAAAGGCAUAAUCUGGCAGAUUCUCAAAGGGCUCCUUCCACUGAUCAUUUUUAGCCAAAUCAUAGGUAGCACCUCGUAUUGACCUUUUGUUGGGACCACAGGGUCUCUUUGAAACAAGUGUAUCAUAGGCUGUAUUUAGAUCCAUUCCACAGAACCAGAACAUAUAAGCAAUUGAAACAGCAGGGGCCCUUCCCAAUCCAGCAGUGCAAUGUACAUACACUCUUCCUUUUCCUUCUGAAAUCGCCCACUCCAGUGAUGAAACAGCUUUAGGUAAUACACUCCUCAAGGAAUCUGGAUCAAAAUCUCUUGCAGGCCUUCUCAUGUGAUUAAUUCCAAGCUCUGAACAUCUUGUAACUAUAGACUGGAGAUCUAUUCCCCAAAACUCAAUAUCUUUGUCCUGCUGCAAGUUUAGUAUAAAAGAAACGUUCUCCUCUUCCUUCAAAUGAUCUAUAUCUUCGAUUUUUUGAGGCUGGGAGCCAACAAUUAGAUCUUCUGUUAUCAAUGUGUAGUUCAUUCCAAGUUCAUGGUGAUAUUCGUAAGGAUUCCUCAUCAUUCUCUUCAUAGCUAAGUUGUAUUCCUCCAUCUUCUUAUUACUACUGUAUCUACCAUGGUUUUCUUUAACUUCGCUGCAAGAAAUCUGGAAGGAUUUGUUGGUGAAGUUCCACAAGGAAUUUGCAUAUUUCUUGCUUGAACGAGAGAAUAAAAAUGGAUUAUUUUGAACUGGGGAGAAGCAGGUAGAGUUCCAGAGAGCUCCCAUGGUGCUUCUGUCAGCUUCCUAGAUUUUUCUAUGGUGGAUGGAUAGCCAUGUGAA
This 2242-nucleotide unclassified non-coding RNA is filed under the name Hevea brasiliensis (rubber tree). The record is from RNAcentral. Lineage: Eukaryota; Viridiplantae; Streptophyta; Magnoliopsida; Malpighiales; Euphorbiaceae.